RNAcentral lists this ribosomal RNA (778 nucleotides) under uncultured Neocallimastigales. RNAcentral describes it as "partial large subunit ribosomal RNA". It matches the Rfam family "Eukaryotic large subunit ribosomal RNA", at positions 22 to 637 of the family's 3401-position model. Lineage: Eukaryota; Fungi; Neocallimastigomycota; Neocallimastigomycetes; Neocallimastigales. The record is from RNAcentral.
UAGAUGCGAGAGUAGAGCAUAUCAAUAAGCGGAGGAAAAGAAACUAACAAGGAUUCCCUUAGUAACGGCGAGUGAAGCGGGAAGAGCUCAAAUUUGAAAUCUUCAAGGUUCUACCUUGACGAAUUGUAGUUUAAAGAAGUGUUUUCUGUUAGAUGAGUAGCAAAAGUUCCUUGGAAUGGGACAUCAUAGAGGGUGAGAAUCCCGUAUUUGGUUAUUCAUUCUAGCUUUGUGAUACACUUUCAAAGAGUCGGAUUGUUUGGGAAUGCAGUCCAAAAUGGGUGGUAAAUUUCAUCUAAAGCUAAAUAUUGGCGAGAGACCGAUAGCGAACAAGUACCGUGAGGGAAAGAUGAAAAGAACUUUGAAAAGAGAGUUAAACAGUACGUGAAAUUGUCAAAAGGGAAGCGUUUGACACCAGUGUUGUUUUUCCGAAAAUCAAUUACGAAUGGCUUGAUUUUGUGUUGUAUUGACCUUAUCAGCUUUCUUCACUUUUUUCGAGUCUUUCUUAAUGCACUUUUCGGUUAACAAGUCAACAUCAAUUUCUUUUGUUGUAAAAGAGUAUUCGGAAGGUGGCUUUCUUUUCGGAGAAAGUGUUUAUAGCCCUUGAUACUUCUAGCAAUCGGAGAGAUUGAGGUCUGCAGCGUAGAUCCUUCGGGGUUAGAUACACUUGUGCUAAGUUUAAGCUUUUCAUAGACAACUUGUUGACUAUGUUUAGUCAUGCUGACUUACUCGCUUAUGCUAUUUUACCUACGCUUAGGAUGUUGAGCGCAUGUCUCUCUCU